This 277-nucleotide long non-coding RNA is filed under the name Mytilus galloprovincialis (Mediterranean mussel). Lineage: Eukaryota; Metazoa; Mollusca; Bivalvia; Mytilida; Mytilidae. The record is from RNAcentral.
UGGUUGACCGUUAUGGAAUAACCGUUUCACAAAUGAUAUCGGAUAUGUUCCUUACGUCGUAACUACAAUCCCCUUCCCUUUCAUCAAUGUGACCUACCGAAUUAGACUAUUUACCGGAUUUGUUAUCACAUAAGCAACACGACGGGUGCCACAUGUGGAGCAGGAUCUGCUUACCCUUCCGGAGCACCUGAGAUCACCCCUAGUUUUUUGGUGGGGUUCGUGUUGUUUAUUCUUUAGUUUUCUAUGUUGUGUCAUGUGUGCUGUUAUUUGUUUGUCU